RNAcentral lists this ribosomal RNA (253 nucleotides) under uncultured bacterium. RNAcentral's name for it is "partial 16S ribosomal RNA". It matches the Rfam family "Bacterial small subunit ribosomal RNA", at positions 524 to 776 of the family's 1533-position model. The record is from RNAcentral.
UACGGAGAGUGCAAGCAUUAAUCGGAAUUAUUGGGCGUAAAGGGCGCGUAGGCUGAAAAAUAAGUCAGAUGUGAAAUUCCGAAGCUCAACUUCGGAGCUGCAUUUGAAACUGUAUUUCUAGAGGAUUGACGGAGAAAACGGAAUUCCACGUGUAGCGGUGAAAUGCGUAGAUAUGUGGAAGAACACCAGUGGCGAAAGCGGUUUUCUAGUUAAUACCUGACGCUGAGGCGCGAGAGCAAGGGGAGCAAACAGG